This 423-nucleotide ribosomal RNA is filed under the name uncultured bacterium. RNAcentral describes it as "bacterial SSU rRNA". It matches the Rfam family "Bacterial small subunit ribosomal RNA", at positions 358 to 773 of the family's 1533-position model. The record is from RNAcentral.
GGAAUAUUGGACAAUGGGCGCAAGCCUGAUCCAGCCAUGCCGCGUGUGUGAAGAAGGCCUUCGGGUUGUAAAGCACUUUCAGCGGGGAGGAAGGGGUUGUUGUUAAUAGCAACAAUCUUUGACGUUACCCGCAGAAGCAGCCCCGGCUACCUCCGUGCCAGCAGCCGCGGUAAUACGGAGGGUGCAAGCGUUAAUCGGAAUUACUGGGCGUAAAGCGCACGUAGGCGGUAUGUUAAGUUGGAUGUGAAAGCCCCGGGCUCAACCUGGGAAUUGCAUCCAAAACUGGCCGACUAGAGUACAGUAGAGGGUGGUGGAAUUUCCUGUGUAGCGGUGAAAUGCGUAGAUAUAGGAAGGAACACCAGUGGCGAAGGCGACCACCUGGACUGAUACUGACACUGAGGUGCGAAAGCGUGGGGAGCAAAC